AACGAACGCUGGCGGCAGGCCUAACACAUGCAAGUCGAGCGAGGACUUCGGUCCUAGCGGCGGACGGGUGAGUAACGCGUGGGAACGUGCCCUUUGCUUCGGAAUAGCCCUGGGAAACUGGGAGUAAUACCGGAUGAGCCCUUUGGGGGAAAGAUUUAUCGGCGAAGGAUCGGCCCGCGUUGGAUUAGGUAGUUGGUGGGGUAAUGGCCUACCAAGCCGACGAUCCAUAGCUGGUUUGAGAGGAUGAUCAGCCACACUGGGACUGAGACACGGCCCAGACUCCUACGGGGGGCAGCAGUGGGGAAACUUAGACAAGGGGGGAAGCCCUAAUCUAGCCAUGCCGCGUGAGCGAUGAAGGCCUUAGGGUUGUAAAGCUCUUUCAGCUGGGAAGAUAAUGACGGUACCAGCAGAAGAAGCCCCGGCUAACUCCGU
RNAcentral lists this ribosomal RNA (432 nucleotides) under uncultured bacterium. Its description in RNAcentral is "partial 16S ribosomal RNA". It matches the Rfam family "Bacterial small subunit ribosomal RNA", at positions 29 to 506 of the family's 1533-position model. The record is from RNAcentral.